CAGUCGCCGCGGGAAUACGGAGGGUGCAAGCGUUAAUCGGAAUUACUGGGCGUAAAGCGUGCGUAGGCGGGACGGCACGUCGACUGCUGAAAUCCCUCGGCUUAACCGAGGAAGUGGCAUCGAUACGACCGUCCUGGAGGAACGUAGGGGGACCUGGAACUUCCGGUGGAGCGGUGAAAUGCGUUGAGAUCGGAAAGAACACCAACGGCGAAAGCACUCUGCUGGGCCGACACUGACACUGAGAGACGAAAGCUAGGGGAGCAAAUGGGAUUAGAUACCCCGGUAGUCCCUGUCUCUUAUA
RNAcentral lists this ribosomal RNA (301 nucleotides) under uncultured bacterium. Its description in RNAcentral is "partial 16S ribosomal RNA". It matches the Rfam family "Bacterial small subunit ribosomal RNA", at positions 509 to 808 of the family's 1533-position model. The record is from RNAcentral.